GAGAGGCCCAGAGCCAGAGGAAACACCAAGACUCAGAGUGAAGAGAGUCCACCAAGAUGAAAAUCAUGCCCCGUGGUUUGUCCUGGCACCUGCAGCGAACAGAAAGCUGCAAAGUGUUCCUGGAAGCGUGCCUAACAGGGCAUACAUUUUUGGACAUGAAGUCACAGAGAUCUGUGCCAGCAGCAAGACUGAACCUAUCAGAAUGUAAAAGCAUUGGUGGUGACCCUGGAGAGAAGAGCACUUACCAUUUAUGCCAGGGCUUGUCAGCCUUUCACAAAUGGAGCUCUUUGAUUCCCUCCAUGAGAGAAGGACAUCAAGGAAGUCUGAUUGCAGGAACCAGCUCCCCGUGCAAAGACACAAAACAAUACCAGUGACCUUGAGAAGCUGAGGACUUGUUUUCUCCUAGGACGUGAUGUGCUGCUGGAGGGAAGUGUCUCACUUGACCUGAAGUGAGGUAAAAGUGUGGGAGGGGGGUAUCAGGGCUUUUUUCUCAGAAGGGCCUCUUUUCCUCUGCCUCCCUGUUUACAUGCUUGUCUGUUGCUUCAGAUAAUUUAUUUCAGAUAAUUACCAUUCUCAAUAGCCCUGAAUGCAGCCUUGUCAAGGGUUUUCCAGGUAGAAGAGAUUUUGCCUCUACAUGUUAUUUAGUUUCAUGCUUUAUCAAUUAUACCCCCAACCCAGCAAG
Molecule: long non-coding RNA, 682 nt
Organism: Passer domesticus (house sparrow)
Lineage: Eukaryota; Metazoa; Chordata; Aves; Passeriformes; Passeridae
Exons: 3
Source: RefSeq, a predicted model, not a curated record